Vicugna pacos (alpaca) is the source of this 103-nucleotide non-coding RNA. The record is from RefSeq and is a predicted model, not a curated record. Lineage: Eukaryota; Metazoa; Chordata; Mammalia; Artiodactyla; Camelidae.
AAAAUAACAAAAGUAUAGGAACUGGAGGGGAGGGUGUAGCUCAGUGGUAGCGCAGAAUGCUUAACAUGCAUGGGGUCCUCGGUUCGAUCCCCAGCACCUCCGU